AGCGAACGCUGGCGGCAGGCUUAACACAUGCAAGUCGAGCGGGCCCUUCGGGGUCAGCGGCAGACGGGUGAGUAACGCGUGGGAACGUGCCCUUCGGUUCGGAAUAACCCUGGGAAACUAGGGCUAAUACCGGAUACGCCCUUAUGGGGAAAGGUUUACCGCCGAAGGAUCGGCCGGCGUCGGAUUAGCUUGUUGGUGAGGUAACGGCUCACCAAGGCGACGAUCAGUGGCUGGUCUGAGAGGAUGAUCAGCCACACUGGGACUGAGACACGGCCCAGACUCCUACGGGAGGCAGCAGUGGGGAAUAUUGGACAAUGGGGGCAACCCUGAUCCAGCCAUGCCGCGUGAGUGAUGACGGCCUUAGGGUUGUAAAGCUCUUUUACCCGGGACGAUAAUGACGGUACCGGGUGAAUAAGCCCCGGCUAACUUCGUGCCAGCCGCCGCGGUAA
Molecule: ribosomal RNA, 449 nt
Filed under: uncultured bacterium
Lineage: Bacteria
Description: partial 16S ribosomal RNA
Rfam family: Bacterial small subunit ribosomal RNA
Source: RNAcentral